RNAcentral lists this unclassified non-coding RNA (1551 nucleotides) under Leishmania donovani. RNAcentral's name for it is "gene:LdHU3.27.3590(CDS-product:aldo-keto_reductas e-like_protein)". The record is from RNAcentral. Lineage: Eukaryota; Euglenozoa; Kinetoplastea; Trypanosomatida; Trypanosomatidae.
UACAGCCGUGGCGAGGCACUCAACCACCCUCUUCUCCGUACACCACCUCCGCCCACUCUCAUACACACAUACUCGAAUCCGGCCUCGUAUGUCUGCCAACGUGCUGGCGUAUCGUCCACUGGCUGGGCCGGUGAUCGCCAUCACGCACCGCAUUGCCAUGCGUGACAGCCACACAAUACCACAGCUCGGUUUUGGCACGUAUCGCCUGCCCGCCUCGAAGGCCACUGAUGCCGUCGCUUUUGCACUCUCCUGCGGCUACCGUCACGUGGACUGCGCCAAGGCGUACGGCAACGAGGCUGCCGUCGGGGCGGCGCUCGCACAGGCGCUGCGCACCCGGUGCACCCGCCGCGAGGACCUUUUCGUUACGUCGAAGCUGUGGCCGACGGACCAGCACCCCGACCACGUCGAGGCCGCCUGCCGCGCCACCCUCGCAGCAUUGCAGCUCGACUACCUCGACCUGUACCUUAUCCACUGGCCUGUGUGCAUGCGGCACACGCCGCAUUGGACCUCAGACGAGGACCGCUACCCCCGCCACCGCGACGGCACCCCCGCCAUCGACACCUCGGUGACGUUGCUCGACACGUGGACGGCCAUGAACAGGCUGGUGGACUGUGGACUGGUGAAGUCGAUUGGGCUGGCCAACUGCACCACCGCCCAUGUGAACGACCUCGUGAAGGCGGUCGCAGAGGCGAAACUAGCCCACCUGCCCGUACUCAACCAAGUCGAGCACCACCCCGGUAUCGUGGACGGCGAUCUGAUAGGCUGCCUCGGCUCCCACGACAUGCUGAUGGCGGCCUACUGCCCACUCGGCAUGCCGACCCGUGACACCCCGCCGGGCUUCCAGUCCCUCCUGGACGACCCCGUACUGCGGUCGCUGAGCGCGUUCAGCGGCUUCAGCCCGGCGCGACUUUUGCUGAACUGGAACGUCGACCGCCACAACGUCGUGAUCGUGAAGUCCGCCAACCAGGAGCACAUCAAGUCUAACGCCAAGGCAGCACGCUUCGCGCUAGACGACCGGACGCGGCUGGUGCUGAACAACUACCACCUCCUCGUGCGCAACUUCCGCGUCAUGAAUCCGACGCACUUUAGCGCUGACGGCGCGACGCCGUUUUUCGCAGCUGAGGAUGCGCGCUUGCAACGCGAAAUCGACGCCUACAGGUCGACAAGGACGGGAACGACGACAACGCCGCCAUCGCCGCGUUCUUGACCGGGAGGGCAAGUACAUCAGUAUAUAUGCGUGUGCGUGCGUCUGUGCCCCCCUCUCGAUGUUCGGGGUAGAUGAUGUGGCCGAGCGCGUGUAUGCCGGUGCGUAUGUGCUUGUGCGCUUCACACAGUCCCUCGAGCAUAUCUCCAUCCUCUCUUUGUGCCCGGUGCAUGUGCCGUGCACUGCGCUUCGGCGUGACAGCCGGUGCCCCUGCGUCUCGUGCGACGCUCCCAGCCUGUAGUGAUGAUAACGGUGAUGCGUGUGCGUGUGCGUGUGCGCAGCGCCCGUUGACACUUGUGUCUUCACCUCUGCAUCCUUCUUUCUUCUCUCUCGCCGUUCUCUGCCAG